RNAcentral lists this long non-coding RNA (1271 nucleotides) under Dromaius novaehollandiae (emu). RNAcentral's name for it is "lncRNA (ENSDNVG00000017704.1)". The record is from RNAcentral. Lineage: Eukaryota; Metazoa; Chordata; Aves; Casuariiformes; Dromaiidae.
CUUCAAUUAUUGCUAGUUCUGUUUCAAAUUCAAAAAUUUUCUUUAGCAUUUUAUAUUUAAUCUGCAGCAGUGCAAUCGAAUUUUUAAAUCAGCUGCUUCCAUAGCUUGGGCAAGAGAGACUGGGACUUUUUUUUUGGAAAAAAAGCUUUUUCAAGUUACUUUUAAUGGUUAAGAAUUUAUCAAGCAUGUCCUGUACAGACACAUAAUUAAAAAAUAAUAAAAAAAAUUCAAGGGUCAGAUUUUGCAGUUAAAUGACCCAGGUCACUGCAGACUGCUGAAAAACAAGAACAAAACCCCUCGUCGGAUAAAUAGAUCAACAGAUUGAUGGCUCAACUAUGUUGCAAUGGAAUCCGAGGUAUUGUGGAAGAAAAACAACCAGUUAAUACUCAAACAGAGCUAUAUCACAUCAAUCUGAGCAGCUCCUUCCAAGGCAGCUCUAUCUUUGGAAUUUGGAGAAGAGAAACAAGAACAAUCGACUGAUCAUCUUAGCCGUCAAUAACUAUCACAAGAGGAUGUCAACACUUCAGCUGCAAAGAGGCUUAAUCUCUGGGCAGAACCAAAGUCCUUCAUCUCGCUUCUCACUACAGUUUAACACUGUUUUUUAGACAUAGCAUUUCAGAUAAACAAGUUUCAUACCACUUUUCUGAAUCCUGUUUUAUUAAUGUUGCAAUCUGCCAAUUACCUUUGUAGCUUUCUCCAACUGUCUGAUGCUUCUGGCAGGCACUGUCAGGCAAAAGUGGAAGCAGAGGCAGAAGCAGGGUAAGCACUGUUUGCUAUGGACCUGCUUUGCCACAAACAUCCUGUAAGAAGUUAGCCACCUUCAAAGACUGGUUGUUGACCUGAAGGCAGGUGGAACAAACCAAGGAAACGUUGCAGGCUUAAGACACCAGGCCACUACCCAGUGCUGCCCUUCCACCAGAAUGCCAUUCAUACAAAAGGCAUGGCACAGCACUCAGUAUUCAAAUCUGCUCUCAGGUCUGCAGUUUCAAGGCUACAUGAUCACCCAACAGAAUCUUCAAGAAACAAAAGGCUUGAAUUCCUGUAAAUAAGCCAACAAAAGAUUAAGCCUUCCCUCUUCCCAUACACAGGAACCCUCAAUGUUAAAGAAUCAUUAAAUGUUAAUGUCAAAGCUUCCAUUUUGAAAUACAGAUUUGCUGGUAUGGAAAACACUUCACAGAUUUGGAGAUAUAUCCUCAAGGUAAGCAACAAAGCUUGCUUUAUCUUUGAUUAUAAUUUGAUUUUAUAAAAAUAAAACCUGAAAUAAAUCAACA